AUCCAACUGACGAGCCCCAAAUAGGACGAAACGCGCAUCCUGUAU
Non-coding RNA from Schistosoma haematobium, 45 nucleotides. Lineage: Eukaryota; Metazoa; Platyhelminthes; Trematoda; Strigeidida; Schistosomatidae. The record is from Rfam.